UAUUGCUAUGAUGGUUUUACCAUGCUAAUACUGAAAUAAAUUGUUGAAAUUUUUUUCUCUAAGACUGAGCAAUAA
Molecule: small nucleolar RNA, 75 nt
Filed under: Anaeromyces robustus
Lineage: Eukaryota; Fungi; Neocallimastigomycota; Neocallimastigomycetes; Neocallimastigales; Neocallimastigaceae
Description: Small nucleolar RNA snoR53Y
Rfam family: Small nucleolar RNA snoR53Y
Source: Rfam by way of RNAcentral